RNAcentral lists this ribosomal RNA (2902 nucleotides) under Escherichia coli T234_00. Its description in RNAcentral is "bacterial LSU rRNA". It matches the Rfam family "Bacterial large subunit ribosomal RNA". Lineage: Bacteria; Pseudomonadati; Pseudomonadota; Gammaproteobacteria; Enterobacterales; Enterobacteriaceae. The record is from RNAcentral.
UUAAGCGACUAAGCGUACACGGUGGAUGCCCUGGCAGUCAGAGGCGAUGAAGGACGUGCUAAUCUGCGAUAAGCGUCGGUAAGGUGAUAUGAACCGUUAUAACCGGCGAUUUCCGAAUGGGGAAACCCAGUGUGAUUCGUCACACUAUCAUUAACUGAAUCCAUAGGUUAAUGAGGCGAACCGGGGGAACUGAAACAUCUAAGUACCCCGAGGAAAAGAAAUCAACCGAGAUUCCCCCAGUAGCGGCGAGCGAACGGGGAGGAGCCCAGAGCCUGAAUCAGUGUGUGUGUUAGUGGAAGCGUCUGGAAAGGCGCGCGAUACAGGGUGACAGCCCCGUACACAAAAAUGCACAUGCUGUGAGCUCGAUGAGUAGGGCGGGACACGUGGUAUCCUGUCUGAAUAUGGGGGGACCAUCCUCCAAGGCUAAAUACUCCUGACUGACCGAUAGUGAACCAGUACCGUGAGGGAAAGGCGAAAAGAACCCCGGCGAGGGGAGUGAAAAAGAACCUGAAACCGUGUACGUACAAGCAGUGGGAGCACAGAGCAAUCUGUGUGACUGCGUACCUUUUGUAUAAUGGGUCAGCGACUUAUAUUCUGUAGCAAGGUUAACCGAAUAGGGGAGCCGAAGGGAAACCGAGUCUUAACCGGGCGUUAAGUUGCAGGGUAUAGACCCGAAACCCGGUGAUCUAGCCAUGGGCAGGUUGAAGGUUGGGUAACACUAACUGGAGGACCGAACCGACUAAUGUUGAAAAAUUAGCGGAUGACUUGUGGCUGGGGGUGAAAGGCCAAUCAAACCGGGAGAUAGCUGGUUCUCCCCGAAAGCUAUUUAGGUAGCGCCUCGUGAAUUCAUCUCCGGGGGUAGAGCACUGUUUCGGCAAGGGGGUCAUCCCGACUUACCAACCCGAUGCAAACUGCGAAUACCGGAGAAUGUUAUCACGGGAGACACACGGCGGGUGCUAACGUCCGUCGUGAAGAGGGAAACAACCCAGACCGCCAGCUAAGGUCCCAAAGUCAUGGUUAAGUGGGAAACGAUGUGGGAAGGCCCAGACAGCCAGGAUGUUGGCUUAGAAGCAGCCAUCAUUUAAAGAAAGCGUAAUAGCUCACUGGUCGAGUCGGCCUGCGCGGAAGAUGUAACGGGGCUAAACCAUGCACCGAAGCUGCGGCAGCGACACUGUGUGUUGUUGGGUAGGGGAGCGUUCUGUAAGCCUGUGAAGGUGUGCUGUGAGGCAUGCUGGAGGUAUCAGAAGUGCGAAUGCUGACAUAAGUAACGAUAAAGCGGGUGAAAAGCCCGCUCGCCGGAAGACCAAGGGUUCCUGUCCAACGUUAAUCGGGGCAGGGUGAGUCGACCCCUAAGGCGAGGCCGAAAGGCGUAGUCGAUGGGAAACAGGUUAAUAUUCCUGUACUUGGUGUUACUGCGAAGGGGGGACGGAGAAGGCUAUGUUGGCCGGGCGACGGUUGUCCCGGUUUAAGCGUGUAGGCUGGUUUUCCAGGCAAAUCCGGAAAAUCAAGGCUGAGGCGUGAUGACGAGGCAUACGGUGCUGAAGCAACAAAUGCCCUGCUUCCAGGAAAAGCCUCUAAGCAUCAGGUAACAUCAAAUCGUACCCCAAACCGACACAGGUGGUCAGGUAGAGAAUACCAAGGCGCUUGAGAGAACUCGGGUGAAGGAACUAGGCAAAAUGGUGCCGUAACUUCGGGAGAAGGCACGCUGAUAUGUAGGUGAAGUCCCUCGCGGAUGGAGCUGAAAUCAGUCGAAGAUACCAGCUGGCUGCAACUGUUUAUUAAAAACACAGCACUGUGCAAACACGAAAGUGGACGUAUACGGUGUGACGCCUGCCCGGUGCCGGAAGGUUAAUUGAUGGGGUCAGCGCAAGCGAAGCUCUUGAUCGAAGCCCCGGUAAACGGCGGCCGUAACUAUAACGGUCCUAAGGUAGCGAAAUUCCUUGUCGGGUAAGUUCCGACCUGCACGAAUGGCGUAAUGAUGGCCAGGCUGUCUCCACCCGAGACUCAGUGAAAUUGAACUCGCUGUGAAGAUGCAGUGUACCCGCGGCAAGACGGAAAGACCCCGUGAACCUUUACUAUAGCUUGACACUGAACAUUGAGCCUUGAUGUGUAGGAUAGGUGGGAGGCUUUGAAGUGUGGACGCCAGUCUGCAUGGAGCCGACCUUGAAAUACCACCCUUUAAUGUUUGAUGUUCUAACGUGGACCCGUGAUCCGGGUUGCGGACAGUGUCUGGUGGGUAGUUUGACUGGGGCGGUCUCCUCCUAAAGAGUAACGGAGGAGCACGAAGGUUGGCUAAUCCUGGUCGGACAUCAGGAGGUUAGUGCAAUGGCAUAAGCCAGCUUGACUGCGAGCGUGACGGCGCGAGCAGGUGCGAAAGCAGGUCAUAGUGAUCCGGUGGUUCUGAAUGGAAGGGCCAUCGCUCAACGGAUAAAAGGUACUCCGGGGAUAACAGGCUGAUACCGCCCAAGAGUUCAUAUCGACGGCGGUGUUUGGCACCUCGAUGUCGGCUCAUCACAUCCUGGGGCUGAAGUAGGUCCCAAGGGUAUGGCUGUUCGCCAUUUAAAGUGGUACGCGAGCUGGGUUUAGAACGUCGUGAGACAGUUCGGUCCCUAUCUGCCGUGGGCGCUGGAGAACUGAGGGGGGCUGCUCCUAGUACGAGAGGACCGGAGUGGACGCAUCACUGGUGUUCGGGUUGUCAUGCCAAUGGCACUGCCCGGUAGCUAAAUGCGGAAGAGAUAAGUGCUGAAAGCAUCUAAGCACGAAACUUGCCCCGAGAUGAGUUCUCCCUGACCCUUUAAGGGUCCUGAAGGAACGUUGAAGACGACGACGUUGAUAGGCCGGGUGUGUAAGCGCAGCGAUGCGUUGAGCUAACCGGUACUAAUGAACCGUGAGGCUUAACCUU